GAACCCGUGUUUCCUUUUCGCUGAGGGCUCUGUGCUCCCCCGUCCACCUCCUCACCAUUAGCCGAGCCCGGCAUCCUGCAGGAAAGCCGCAGCCCCGGGGUUCAUCACGCACAUGUGCUGAGCUACUCCUUAUCCUUCCUGCCCCUCAAGGUCCUCCAGGACACUGUGCUGGGCCUCUGCCUGCCCCUCCCUCCUGUGGAAUGGGAGGAACGGCCACUCAGCCAAGACGCCCUUUAAGUUGAAGAUGACAGCUGCCCUUUGAACCCUGGCUGUCUUUCCUUUGUUUUCUAUAUUUUCCUUUCUCCCAUAUUUAACACCUCACCCUUUUCUGCAUGUUUUAUCUGCUGCUCUGAUCCGUUUCCCUAGCCUUUCAUGAACGCCUGUUAGCCUGCACCUCUAGUGAGACUAAAUACCAGAGAUAUGAAGUUUGAGAAGUUUUUGUGUCAAACACAGGUGAAGGACUGAAAAUAAUUUACUCAAGAUAAGAAGAUGUAGCUAAAAAACGUAAUAUCGCAAUAUUGCGAAAAAAAAAAAUACCUUGAAACUGUUAUGAUAUCAAUCACGAUAUCACAUGGUUAUUUCGCUCGUAUAAGCUCCAUGUCAAAAAAUACAUACUACAUUAAUGAAUGUGUUGUGCUCUAUCGGCCUACUGUAACCCACAUGACAAUAGGGCAUUAAAUCUAUUACUAUUACAACAAUAAUUUAUAAAUUGGCCAAAUACAAACAAAACACAUUUACAGUAUAUUACCAAAAUGAUAAUUUACCUCUUUUAAAAAAAAGACAAUGGUAUGCAGAUUGUGAGGUGACGUUACGACAUAACGUGGAGAGUGCGGGUUUUUUUUGCAGAAGGCUUGAGGUUGAGGCUCGAGUGCUAACAGCAGGCUGCCAUGGGAUUUAAAAUACAGUAAAAAGAAAACUUGCUAAACUUGAUUUUAAAUUUGUGGUAUAGGAAGAUUUUUUAAAUUAACUAAGGGAAGAUGGAAGAAAUGUUUUAAACCACGAUAAAUUGUUUUUUUCUGCACUACACUGACUCUUCCGAAGAUUUGGCAGGGAUGUUCCUGCAUGUGCUUCAUCGAUCAGGGACCCAUCGAACGGAGUUCAUAUCAGGAUGGUGGCUGACACGACAUAUUUUCCAACGCGCGCUCUCUGUCCGAUUGUGGGAGUGUGCUCACCUGUGUGCGUGUGCAUCGGGGCAGAACUCCACCAUGUGUGAUACAGAGAGCAAAGAAGAAUUGUAAACACGCGACCGUGUUGAGACAAAAAUGACAAGCUGUUGUGAAAAUAAUAGAGAUGUAACGAUAAAUGUAAUAUCGCGAUAUCACAAUAAAAACAUACCUCGACACCAUUGUCGGACUAUUACGAUAUCAAUCACUAUAUCACGUUAUUCGAUCGUAUAAGCUCCAUCUGUUAAUAUCGUGAUAAUUGUCAUAUCGUAAACUUGCAAUAUUAUCGUAAUGUGAGAAUUUGGUAUCGUUGCAUCCCUAGUAAAUAAGAUAAAUAAUGUAAGACUAUUUAUGUCAUGACCUGCGUAUCCAGUCCUCGAGUGUGCCACGCCCCCCUGAUCAACCACGUGUGCUCCCUCGAUUGUGCCCAGCUGUUUUCCAUCGGUCUGAUGUGUUCAGUGUAUUUAAUCCGCGUCUGAGUCCAUUUUCCCCAGAUCUGUAAUUGAUGGUCUGUACCGUGUUUCCUCGUCU
Brienomyrus brachyistius is the source of this 1694-nucleotide long non-coding RNA. RefSeq lists it as uncharacterized. NCBI's taxonomy places the organism in Eukaryota, Metazoa, Chordata, Actinopteri, Osteoglossiformes, Mormyridae. The transcript has 3 exons. The record is from RefSeq and is a predicted model, not a curated record.